GAUGAACGCUGGCGGCGUGCCUAAUACAUGCAAGUCGAGCGAACAGACGAGGAGCUUGUUGCUCUGACGUUAGCGGCGCACGGGUGAGUAACACGUGGAUAACCUACUUAUAUUACUGGGAUAACUUCGGGAAACCGGCGCUAAUACCGGAUAAUCUACUGAACCGCAUGGUUCAAUAGUGAAAGACGGUUUUGCUGUCACUUAUAGAUGGAUCCGCGCGGCAUUAGCUGGUUGGUAAGGUAAAGGCUUAUCAAGGGGAGCAUGCGUAAACGACGGGUGAGGGUGGUAGGCCACACUGGAGGUGGGACGCGGUCCAGACUCCUAAGGGAGGCCGCAGAAGCGAAUCGGCCGCAAUGGGCGGAAGCAUGGCGGAACAACGCCGAGUCAGUGAUGACAACCUUCGGAGCGGGAUACUCGGUUAUGAGGGAAAAACAAAUGUGUACUGAAAUAUGCACGUAUUGACGGUAACUGAUCAGGAAGCCACGGCUAACUACGUG
This 497-nucleotide ribosomal RNA is filed under the name uncultured bacterium. Its description in RNAcentral is "partial 16S ribosomal RNA". It matches the Rfam family "Bacterial small subunit ribosomal RNA", at positions 28 to 507 of the family's 1533-position model. The record is from RNAcentral.